Molecule: RNA transcript, 1449 nt
Organism: Nymphaea colorata (pocket water lily)
Lineage: Eukaryota; Viridiplantae; Streptophyta; Magnoliopsida; Nymphaeales; Nymphaeaceae
Gene name: spindle and kinetochore-associated protein 1 homolog
Exons: 10
Source: RefSeq, a predicted model, not a curated record
UGCCCGGCGUCGUGAAAAGAUCUCCUAAUUUCGAAUUUUUCCGCCCAAAUUUUUGUUCCUUCCAGGGGAAAAGGGAAACGAGAAAGCAGUGGUUGUGCCUGGGAUCGCACAGAACGACGACAAGAAAGGUCGCCAGAGAGAGCCGCCAGCGAGAUGGACGCUAAAGCAGCUGCUUCCUCCCUGGAGUCGCUAAUGUCUUCCUUCACUGCUCGCAUCUCCGACCUCCAAGAACUCGUCAUCGCCAGAAACAUGAAUCCUGGGAAGGUGACACCAGAUCUAUCGAACAUCGACGCCGCGGUGAAGGCCAUGGAAUUCCAGGUGCAAGCCAUCAAGAAUCGCAUCAGAGAAGAGAAGGCGGUCAUUCCCAAAGCCAAGAAACUGGUCGAGCUCUCCCUAAGCCAGCAAAGGAAAUUGCAGCACAUGCUCGCGCUCUUACCACCUCGUCUCCCCGGCGCCACAGGAACUGGGUCGAAUGCAGGCGAAUAUGGUAUGCCCAAGGAAAAAUCCGUUAUUGACAUCGUUGGUAAGCCACUGAAGCUUGAGGAAGAGCCUCCUCCGCCGAAGGAGAAAAGGGGUCGUGGUCAAGCUCCUCGCUGGUAUAUCACUAAUGAUGAGCUUGACUCAUUGUCUAGUUACAUGAGAGGUCGACUCACCUUGGACAAGGUGAACUCUGCGAUAAAUGAGAUGGCCGUAUACGCUGAAGCCAAUAUGCAGCUAGUUGCUGCUCCGAGGAAGAAGCUGUCGGAAGAUACCCUGGAGAAAGCACUAGAACUAAGAGAUAUUGGAAUGUCAGAAGCUGUGAAGGGAAAGCAUUUCUUCCUGGAGACAGACAUGAAAGGUGCUGGUCUGAAGCUUGAUAACACUGGAAAAGCCAUACUGACGCUGAGGUUGGAACCUUGAUCUUCCACAUGAACUCAUGGCCGUACCAAUCUCUGGCAAUUCCCUUCGGGCCUUCUUGAGGCCCUCUUUUGUUCGUUGGCGACGUCAACGUUGCAAGGAGAAAUGCCUGGUCCUCCGGCAUCUGGGACGCAUACAGGAGGCAAGAAUUGGACAUAAUCGGGUUAUCAUCCUCACAAAGCCUUGACGAAGGGCCACACUAUGCAUGCAGAGAGCUUGUAUAUAUUACAUGGCUUGGCGUUUUCUUUUUGGCCAGAUAGCACAGUAACAGGGCAAUCAGUAAUGGCUUUCACUGUUAACUGUCUCAAAAUGUGGGAGAUAUUGGCACUGAACUUCUUGAAGUGCCUUCCGGUGAUUGAAAUCACACGUAUAGUCCAUCUUCGAUAACGUACCAGUGGUUGUAAGGCAAUUCAAGGUCACGUGCACUUGGAAAGUACGAGGUACUUUAUGAUCUAGAUUAGGUCCAGAUUAAAGCAACUUCUUUUACGGCUUUCAUUUUUCUAUUUUCAUUGCACUGGAUUAUUUAUGAAUUAUAAAGUUAUUUCGCUUGAA